GAUGAACGCUGGCGGCGUGCCUAAUACAUGCAAGUCGAGCGAACAGACGAGGAGCUUGCUCCUCUGACGUUAGCGGCGGACGGGUGAGUAACACGUGGAUAACCUACCUAUAAGACUGGGAUAACUUCGGGAAACCGGAGCUAAUACCGGAUAAUAUAUUGAACCGCAUGGUUCAAUAGUGAAAGACGGUUUUGCUGUCACUUAUAGCUGGAUCCGCGCCGCAUUAGCUAGUUGGUAAGGUAACGGCUUACCAAGGCAACGAUGCGUAGCCGACCUGAGAGGGUGAUCGGCCACACUGGAACUGAGACACGGUCCAGGCUCCUACGGGAGGCAGCAGUAGGGAAUCUUCCGCAAUGGGCGAAAGCCUGACGGAGCAACGCCGCGUGAGUGAUGAAGGUCUUCGGAUCGUAAAACUCUGUUAUUAGGGAAGAACAAAUGUGUAAGUAACUAUGCACGUCUUGACGGUACCUAAUCAGAAAGCCACGGCUAACUACGUG
RNAcentral lists this ribosomal RNA (497 nucleotides) under uncultured bacterium. Its description in RNAcentral is "partial 16S ribosomal RNA". It matches the Rfam family "Bacterial small subunit ribosomal RNA", at positions 28 to 507 of the family's 1533-position model. The record is from RNAcentral.